This 254-nucleotide ribosomal RNA is filed under the name uncultured bacterium. RNAcentral describes it as "partial 16S ribosomal RNA". It matches the Rfam family "Bacterial small subunit ribosomal RNA", at positions 524 to 776 of the family's 1533-position model. The record is from RNAcentral.
UACGAAGGGGGCUAGCGUUGUUCGGAAUCACUGGGCGUAAAGCGCACGUAGGCGGAUCUUUAAGUCAGAGGUGAAAUCCCAAGGCUCAACCUUGGAACUGCCUUUGAUACUGGGGAUCUUGAGUCCGGGAGAGGUGAGUGGAACUGCGAGUGUAGAGGUGAAAUUCGUAGAUAUUCGCAAGAACACCAGUGGCGAAGGCGGCUCACUGGCCCGGUACUGACGCUGAGGUGGCGAAAGCGUGGGGAGCAAACAGG